UCCCUUCCCUUCCCUUCCCUUCCCUUCCCUUCCCUUCCCUUCCCUUCCCUUCCCUUCCCUUCCCUUCCCUUCCCUUCCCUUCCCUUCCCUUCCCUGACAGCAGGAUCCAUGGCCCCCUCCUGCCCAGGGCAGUGUGCUCUCUGGAGUGUGGCUCCCCACCUGAGGGGCUGGGAUCCCAAGGAAGGAAUAUUGCCAGGAAAUGGCAGAGAAGAGGAGGAGGCUGAGUUUCCAUGCUGGGAAAUGCCAUUCCAUGUGGGAAGUGGGCUGGGAUCUGAGGCCUUCCCAGAUUUGUCCUGGUUGCCCCAAAUUCGCGUUCCUAAGGGGUUAUUCCCCAGGGACUGAGGCCUUCCCAGAAUUGUCCUGGUUGCCCCAAAUUCGCGUUCCUAAGGGGUUAUUCCCCAGGGACCGAGGCCACUGGAACAGCAGUGUUCCCUCUUCCCGGCUGUUUUCCACUGCUCCUCUCCCACACACGGAUGGCAGCGCGGCUCUGGAUGGGCUCAGGACCUCGUAUCUCCCAUCUCGCUGGGAAUGCCGGCGAGUGCGUCACGGAGCUGCCUCCAGCAAUCCCUGCUGGAGAGAGGCUCUGCCAGAACGCUGGGACGGCACAUUCCUGCUGCUUCUGGCCCGGGUUUUACCCCGCACAUGCCCUGUCCUCCUGCCCCACGUGUCCAGGGAAAGUCACCGUGCAGGCAAUGGAAACGCUCUGGCCCCUCUGUGGCUGCACCGAUGAGCACAAGGAUGAAGGGCACCAUGAGGUGAUGACAGCAGGAAGUUCAUGAGCUGCUGGUUCCUGCUGAGGAGAACCAAAUCCUUGGAUUGCUGAGCAGGCAGGACUGGGAAUGGCACGGGAGGCACCCUAAAAGUGGAUGAAAUAAGAGUUUCAAGAGGGAAUUUCCUGGCCCUCAGCAACCUGGCUGGACAGCCUUUCCUUGCUCACAGCCAUUUCCUGUAGGGAUUUGUGCUUUCCAGGCUUGGAGGGAGGAAUGUGGAGCUCCAUGAUGAGCUCUGGCUCUGAAAUAGUCCCAAAAACUCCUCCAAAAUGCCCUGCUGGGAGCUGGGGAGGAACACUUGGACCUGCAGCCCCCUCUGGAAUUGUUCUUUUUCCUUCUGGUGUGGAGUAACUUUGCUGCUGCUGCAUCCUGGCUUUUCUGCUGAUAUAUCCUGGCUUUUCUGCUGAUAUAUCCUGGCUUUUCUGCUGAUAUAUCCCAGCUUUCUGCUGAUAUAUCCCGGCUUUUCUGCUCCUGUUGGGAAUUCCUGGCAUGACCCCGCUCCAGGCACCUGACGGGGGGCACCUGCUGCCCUCCCGUGUCCCUUGCAUGUGUCCUGGUCCCUUUUCCACACUGAUCCCAUCCCAGCCAGCCCUGGUGGAUACUGAGCUCGGGGAGCUGGAGUUCCUCGGGAGGCUGAGGGAUGCAGGAUUUGGGGUGGGAUAUGGAGGGCUGCUCCCCCUCCUCCCGUGUCCUCCACCCGAAGUCCUCACCCAGCUCCGUAUCCCAAUCCUCUGGAGCAGUCAUUCCUACAACUUCCCUGUAAAUAGGAUUUUGUAUCUUCUCCGACUAUUGCUAAUAAAUGGUUGCAAAACUGAGCCUGUGCCUGUUCCUGCUCUGCUUGUGCAGGUGCUGCUUCAUCCCUUAAAAUAUAAACAAGAUCCUGGCACGGCCCAGAGCUUUAACGGAGCCCAGGUCACCUCUUCCCCAGUUAUGAGUAAGGAAAACAUCCCACACAGAGCAAUAAAAAGCACAUGGGUCUGGAGCAGGUGUGAUGGAUGAGGAAUAUUGGAGAACUGAGGGCCAAAGGGCUCCAGGAAUGAGGGAUUUGUUCCCUCUCCCACUUGGUUUAUGUGACCGCAGGAUUCAAGAAUCAGUGAGUGGGGAUGAGUUGUGAGAGGGCUCCCGCUCCAAGGGAAUUUUCUGCAGCGCUGGAGAGCAGCUGGAGCUUUCCCAAGAGUAAAUGGAGGAGAAAAGUUCCUCCAGGGACAAUUCACCACCCAAAUGGGAACUGGCACUGGGAGGGGCAAACUCCCAUCUCACUCCAUCAGCUCGGAAGGGAUGAUUGUCCAGGACAGAAAUCCCAGUGCAGCAGGUCUGUGCUUUUGGGAAGCAGUGGAAUCCAAAACAUGGGAAAUUUGGCUCCUGGGAAGUGGUGCUGAACAGCCUGUGCAGCCAGGAGGGAUCUUCCUGCACUUUCUUCAGAAAAAAAAGGAGUGAAGUGGAGAAUUCGCACCCAAAUAAUGAGGUGUCCAAGAGCAUUUGGAUGAGACAUCAUCAGCGUUCCCUGAAAGUGCCACAGACAGGGUAAAAGGCUGAGGAUUCUAUCAAAUUUCAGCACGGCUUUUGGAGAAUGGGGCAAGAAUUUGGAUUAAUCAGGCUGGGACCAUCAAAGGAAGGGUGGAGGGAUGUAGGACAAGGGGGGAGAUUUGUCAGGGUGUGAGGGAUGCUGGAGAGAGGAAGGCAUCGAGCUGCUUCCCACGCCUGUUGAAAACAGGAAUUUGGGGGUCCUAAAUCCAGCCAGAGAGAGUCAGAGGAGACCUCAACCCCCCUGGGUUCCAUUGCCUGGAGAAGGGAGGGAAAUCGUAUUUAUUUUUGCACUUUUUUCUGCCUUUCGUUUGCGGCCAGGGCUCCCAGCACAGGGAGGAUGAGGAGCUGCUGGAGAAGGCCCUGGAGCUGCUCCAAAGGCUGGAGCCCCUCUGGAGUCAGGCUGGGAGAGCUGGGGGUGCUCACCUGGAGAGGAGAGGGAUCCAGGGAGAGCUCAGAGCCCUUUGCAGUGCCUAAAGGGGCUCCAGGAGAGCUGGAGAGGGACUGGAGACAAGGGAUGGAGGGACAGGACACAGGGAAUGGCUUCCUGAGGGCAGGGCUGGAUGGGAUAUUGGGAAGGAAUUGUUCCCUGGGAGGGUGGGGAGGCCCUGGAAUGGAUUUCUGAGGGGAUGCCCCUGGAUCCCUGGCAGUGCCCAAGGCCAGGCUGGACAGGGGUUGGAACAGCCUGGGGCAGUGGGAGGUGUCCCAGGUCGGGUGGGAUGGGGUGGGAUGGGAUGGGGUGGGAUGGGAUGGGGUGGGAUGGGAUGAAAUGGGGUGGGAUGGGAUGGGGUGGGAUGGGAUGGGGUGGGAUGGGGAUGGGAUGAAAUGGGGUGGGAUGGGAUGGGGAUGGGGUGGGACGGGAUGGAUUUUAAGGUCCUUUCCCACUCAAAAACCACUGGGUUUUCUUGAUUCCACGAAAACCCAGGAAGGGCCGAUGCGGGCAGCAGGAGCCUUUCCCCGGCAUUUGUGAGCUCCAGGCGCCCUCUGCUCUUCACGCUGUGAUUGAAACCAGCACCAAAUGAAAUCCAGCUUCCUGUGCCAGCUUAACCCUACACCUGCGCCAGGCCCCUUAACCCUAACUCUGCCCCACGGCGCCUCUUUAACCCUGAACCUCCCCCUCCUCUUAAACCCCCCUUUAACAGGGAACAUCCAUUUUUUUCUGCUUUAAAACCUCUCUCAGCUGCAGCCCGUAGGGUCCUGGGCACCCUCAGCGCAAUCACGUGUUUAAAUGUGUUUUAAAUACCAUUUAUUUGUUAUUUCUGUGUAUAACAUUUAUAUGGUAUUUAUUUAUAUAACAUCGGUUUAUAUUAUUCAAAUAUGCUUUCAGUAGCGUUGGUUUAAGUAGCAUUUACAUGCUAUUUAUUUGAAAGGAAUGAAUAUGUUCUAUAGGAUAAGAUAUGAU
RNAcentral lists this long non-coding RNA (3696 nucleotides) under Corvus moneduloides (New Caledonian crow). Its description in RNAcentral is "lncRNA (ENSCMUG00000018711.1)". The record is from RNAcentral. Lineage: Eukaryota; Metazoa; Chordata; Aves; Passeriformes; Corvidae.